NNNNNNNNNNNNNNNNNNNNNNNNNNNNNNNNNNNNNNNNNNNNNNNNNNNNNNNNNNNNNNNNNNNNNNNNGCUUCCAGAGGUGCUGUCCCUUCCGGCCGGCGGAGGAUCCGUUUCCUCGCGUACAAGGAGCAGGAGCUGCUGGAGUGGCACAUCACGAGGAAACGCCAAGCGAUGGAGGAAACCCUCAGCCGGUCAAGCCCAGGGCCCCGCCAUGCCUGCCCUCCACCCGUGCCUUCCCCUGCAGAGGCACUCCCUUCCCUCCUCAUCGGCCCGUCCAAAAGCCGGACCAGCCUCAAGAAAUGGACCGAGGGCCAAAUGGAAAGUGGCGAACAGAAGAUCCUCCGACGGAGUAGGGCUAAGACUGCCCUAGCAGAGCUGCCCCCGGUGAAUAGGGGGCCCCCUGAGCGACGGAGCCCUGCUCCGCUCCCCAUCUUGGAGGCUGCCGCCAUCCCCCAGAAGCCUCUGGAGUUGCCGUUGGUUGCUGCCGCACACGUUGAGGUGUGCCAGGAAACCCACCAAUGCUUGCAGGCGUCUCCCAAGCCUUGCGUCCUUGUGGAGACCCGGGAGGAGGAACGAGCCACCCUGGAACUCCAUCUGCCACUGGCCAGGAGCCCCUUCCCCCCUGGGCCGCCUCCUUCUCCUCCUCCCCCUCCUGCCAAAGGCAUCCCUUCAGAAGAGUACCCCGUCUGCUUGCACUGUGGCCAAGGCACCCCGAUCUGCCCGCCCCGUCGCCUGCAGCACAGCCCUCGCCUGAUGAUCAACCCGCAGCUGACGGUGCAGGAAGGGGAGGGCCAUAUAAGCGUGGGAUUCCAACUGAGGAUCGAGGAGGCCGGGUCCAGCGAGGGGGGACCGGUGCCAGGGAAGGAUGCCUGCCAGGGGCAGCCAGGCAAAGACUGGCCCUCCAAGCCCAAAAGGGCCAGGGGCAGGAGCAGACCCUCAAAGAGUCAGACCACAAAGCCCAAGCCUCGGGGCCCAGAGAGGACACCCUGGCUGGCCGGGCAGCGUUCCCCACAGGGCAUUCCCCCAGGGCCCGGAGGCCACAAGGAUGCUCCUGAAGCGGCAAAGGUCAGCUCUGCACCUGCUCCCAGGUCUCCCACGAAACCAGGGAAAGCACAAAUGCACUCCCGGUCUACAAAGCCCAUCCUGGGGAGAGAAGGACCCCUCCAACCCGAGGCUCCCCAGGAGUGCCCCAACAACUUCAAAUGCCUGGUGCUCUGCCUCAAGGGAGUCUCGGCUGAAUUACAGAAGAAGAAGCAGAAGAAGCAGAAGAGACCCCCUCCAAGCAGAAUCCUGCGGCUGCCUCGCCGAAGUUGGCGUCGCGCUCUGAAACGAAAGAGUCCCCUUCGGUGUCCUUUGAGAAUGAAGAUGAGGAAGGGCUUUUGAUUCCUCCCCUAGAAAGAGGGAAGUGGGCUUCACAGAAUACUCGCUUCUCCUGGGACUUCAAGGAGACCUAGAUGGAAACCUUCCUCCAUCAACUUCCUAGAAAGCCUCUCCAAGAAAAGGACUAGCAAAGCUCAACGGAGCCCCUAAU
This 1534-nucleotide long non-coding RNA is filed under the name Pogona vitticeps (central bearded dragon). RNAcentral describes it as "lncRNA (ENSPVIG00000011662.1)". Lineage: Eukaryota; Metazoa; Chordata; Lepidosauria; Squamata; Agamidae. The record is from RNAcentral.